UACGAGUACCCCAAGCGUUAUCCGGAAUUAUUGGGCGUAAAGGGUAUGUAGGCGGUUAUGUUAGUCUUUUUUCCAAGCCUUCGGCUCCCCCGGAGAAUUUCGGAGGAAACGGUAUAACUAGAGAGUGUGAGAGGUUUGCGGAACUCAUGGUGUAGGGGUGAAAGCCGUUGAUAUCAUGGGGAACACCAAAAGCGAAGGCAGCAAACUGGCACAUUUCUGACGCUGAAAUACGAAAGCGUAGGUAGCGAAUGGG
Molecule: ribosomal RNA, 253 nt
Filed under: uncultured bacterium
Lineage: Bacteria
Description: partial 16S ribosomal RNA
Rfam family: Bacterial small subunit ribosomal RNA
Source: RNAcentral